This 291-nucleotide ribosomal RNA is filed under the name uncultured bacterium. Its description in RNAcentral is "partial 16S ribosomal RNA". It matches the Rfam family "Bacterial small subunit ribosomal RNA", at positions 773 to 1060 of the family's 1533-position model. The record is from RNAcentral.
GUGGAUUAGAUACCCGGGUAGUCCACGCCGUAAACGAUGUUCACUAGGUGUUGGGGGUAUUGACCCCCUCAGUGCCGGAGCUAACGCAUUAAGUGAACCGCCUGGGGAGUACGGUCGCAAGACUAAAACUCAAAGGAAUUGACGGGGGCCCGCACAAGCGGUGGAGCAUGUGGUUUAAUUCGAUGCAACGCGAAGAACCUUACCUGGGCUUGACAUCUGGGGAAUCCCCUGGAAACAGGGGAGUGCCUUUCGGGGAGCCCCAAGACAGGUGCUGCACGGUCGUCGUCAGCU